CACUCUCGGGUGACGAGCGGCGGACGGGUGAGUAAUGUCUGGGAAACUGCCUGAUGGAGGGGGAUAACUACUGGAAACGGUAGCUAAUACCGCAUAAUGUCGCAAGACCAAAGUGGGGGACCUUCGGGCCUCAUGCCAUCAGAUGUGCCCAGAUGGGAUUAGCUAGUAGGUGGGGUAACGGCUCACCUAGGCGACGAUCCCUAGCUGGUCUGAGAGGAUGACCAGCCACACUGGAACUGAGACACGGUCCAGACUCCUACGGGAGGCAGCAGUGGGGAAUAUUGCACAAUGGGCGCAAGCCUGAUGCAGCCAUGCCGCGUGUGUGAAGAAGGCCUUCGGGUUGUAAAGCACUUUCAGCGGGGAGGAAGGCGGUGAGGUUAAUAACCUUGUCGAUUGACGUUACCCGCAGAAGAAGCACCGGCUAACUCCGUGCCAGCAGCCGCGGUAAUACGGAGGGUGCAAGCGUUAAUCGGAAUUACUGGGCGUAAAGCGCACGCAGGCGGUCUGUCAAGUCGGAUGUGAAAUCCCCGGGCUCAACCUGGGGAACUGCAUUCGAAACUGGCAGGCUAGAGUCUUGUAGAGGGGGGGUAGAAUUCCAGGUGUAGCGGUGAAAUGCGUAGAGAUCUGGAGGAAUACCGGUGG
Molecule: ribosomal RNA, 642 nt
Filed under: Klebsiella pneumoniae
Lineage: Bacteria; Pseudomonadati; Pseudomonadota; Gammaproteobacteria; Enterobacterales; Enterobacteriaceae
Description: bacterial SSU rRNA
Rfam family: Bacterial small subunit ribosomal RNA
Source: RNAcentral